RNAcentral lists this ribosomal RNA (466 nucleotides) under uncultured bacterium. Its description in RNAcentral is "partial 16S ribosomal RNA". It matches the Rfam family "Bacterial small subunit ribosomal RNA", at positions 30 to 507 of the family's 1533-position model. The record is from RNAcentral.
CGAACGCUGGCGGCGUGCUUAACACAUGCAAGUCGAAUGGAAAGGCCCUGCUUUUGUGGGGUGCUCGAGUGGCGAACGGGUGAGUAACACGUGAGUAACCUGCCCUUGACUUUGGGAUAACUUCAGGAAACUGGGGCUAAUACCGGAUAGGAGCUCCUGCUGCAUGGUGGGGGUUGGAAAGUUUCGGCGGUUGGGGAUGGACUCGCGGCUUAUCAGCUUGUUGGUGGGGUAGUGGCUUACCAAGGCUUUGACGGGUAGCCGGCCUGAGAGGGUGACCGGCCACAUUGGGACUGAGAUACGGCCCAGACUCCUACGGGAGGCAGCAGUGGGGAAUAUUGCACAAUGGGCGGAAGCCUGAUGCAGCAACGCCGCGUGCGGGAUGACGGCCUUCGGGUUGUAAACCGCUUUCGCCUGUGACGAAGCGUGAGUGACGGUAAUGGGUAAAGAAGCACCGGCUAACUACGUG